This 305-nucleotide ribosomal RNA is filed under the name uncultured bacterium. RNAcentral's name for it is "bacterial SSU rRNA". It matches the Rfam family "Bacterial small subunit ribosomal RNA", at positions 333 to 636 of the family's 1533-position model. The record is from RNAcentral.
CUGGUCCUACGGGAGGCAGCAGUGAGGAAUAUUGGUCAAUGGGAGAGAUCCUGAACCAGCCAAGCCGCGUGAGGGAAGACGGCCCUAUGGGUUGUAAACCUCUUUUGUCGGAGAACAAAACCCGGGACGUGUCCCGGACUGCGUGUAUCCGAAGAAAAAGCAUCGGCUAACUCCGUGCCAGCAGCCGCGGUAAUACGGAGGAUGCGAGCGUUAUCCGGAUUUAUUGGGUUUAAAGGGUGCGUAGGCGGUCCGUUAAGUCAGCGGUAAAAAUGCGGAGCUCAACUCCGUCGAGCCGUUGAAACUGU